GAAUAGAAGUAAUUGUCACAAUGCUAACUUGUGAAUUUCUUCUUUACAAGAAUAAUUGAAGCAAGUUAAAAUUUCUUCACAAGGCCAAGAUUUAUUGAUUAUCAAACAGUUGGAACAGGAGUUGGCUAUGGAACUUAAAUAUGAGGAAGCCUUUUGGGCACAGAAGUCUCGGCAAUCUUGGUUAGAGCUAGGAGAUCGUAACACCUCUUAUUUUCAUGCUCAGGUAAUUCAAAGAAGGAAAAAAAAAAAA
This 250-nucleotide unclassified non-coding RNA is filed under the name Hevea brasiliensis (rubber tree). The record is from RNAcentral. Lineage: Eukaryota; Viridiplantae; Streptophyta; Magnoliopsida; Malpighiales; Euphorbiaceae.